Molecule: transfer RNA, 77 nt
Filed under: Paracoccaceae bacterium
Lineage: Bacteria; Pseudomonadati; Pseudomonadota; Alphaproteobacteria; Rhodobacterales; Paracoccaceae
Description: Rhodobacteraceae bacterium tRNA-His
Rfam family: tRNA
About the family: Transfer RNA (tRNA) molecules are approximately 80 nucleotides in length. Their secondary structure includes four short double-helical elements and three loops (D, anti-codon, and T loops).
Source: RNAcentral
GCCGCCUUAGCUCAGUAGGUUAGAGCGCUUGAUUGUGGAUCAAGAGGUCGUAGGUUCGAAUCCCACAGGCGGUACCA